MicroRNA precursor from Medicago truncatula (barrel medic), 97 nucleotides. The record is from Rfam. NCBI's taxonomy places the organism in Eukaryota, Viridiplantae, Streptophyta, Magnoliopsida, Fabales, Fabaceae.
UCCGCUUUUUGAUGUUGGCUUGUCUCAAUCAAAUCAAAGUUCUUGAAAUUUGAGUUCUUUAGUCUGAUUGAGUCGUGCCAAUAUCAUAUUAAGCGAU